This 429-nucleotide ribosomal RNA is filed under the name Pseudomonadota bacterium. RNAcentral describes it as "Proteobacteria bacterium partial 16S ribosomal RNA". It matches the Rfam family "Bacterial small subunit ribosomal RNA", at positions 355 to 776 of the family's 1533-position model. Lineage: Bacteria; Pseudomonadati; Pseudomonadota. The record is from RNAcentral.
UGGGGAAUAUUGGACAAUGGGCGAAAGCCUGAUCCAGCCAUGCCGCGUGUGUGAAGAAGGUCUUCGGAUUGUAAAGCACUUUAAGUUGGGAGGAAGGGCAGUAAGCGAAUACCUUGCUGUUUUGACGUUACCGACAGAAUAAGCACCGGCUAACUCUGUGCCAGCAGCCGCGGUAAUACAGAGGGUGCAAGCGUUAAUCGGAAUUACUGGGCGUAAAGCGCGCGUAGGUGGUUCGUUAAGUUGAAUGUGAAAGCCCCGGGCUCAACCUGGGAACUGCAUCCAAAACUGGCGAGCUAGAGUAGGGCAGAGGGUGGUGGAAUUACCUGUGUAGCGGUGAGAUGCGUAGAUAUAGGAAGGAACACCAGUGGCGAAGGCGACCACCUGGGCUCAUACUGACACUGAGGUGCGAAAGCGUGGGGAGCAAACAGG